AGAAGCCUAGGGGCUGCAUCCCCAGGAACGGAGAGGAGAUCAAAGGCCCGGACCCGAUGGAAAAGACGGGCUGGGGCAGCUGAGUCGGUGGGAGUGAAGCUGACAUGGUGGAAUUUGGAAGUUGCUGCAGGGCAAGAAAUGCAGGAAGAACAGAAGAGAGACAGGCAGUGGCUAAAGCACAGGAAGCGGUUAUGAGUCUGCUACUAAAAGCCCAGCAGGAUGCAGGUCAUUACCUCAAAUAAGAGCAGUCCCUGCUCUUGGAGGUGGAGGCCCCUCAAGCAGUACCUACAGGCAUCCCUGUGAACAUGGCUGAAUUAUUUCAAAGGCAAUAUUUUUGGUUUAGUGACUCCAUGCAUCUGAAGAAGUGGGUUUUUUACCCACGAAAGCAUAUGCCAAAAUAAAUCCUGUAGUCUUUAAGG
Molecule: long non-coding RNA, 419 nt
Organism: Mauremys reevesii (Reeves's turtle)
Lineage: Eukaryota; Metazoa; Chordata; Testudines; Geoemydidae
Exons: 3
Source: RefSeq, a predicted model, not a curated record